Molecule: ribosomal RNA, 253 nt
Filed under: uncultured bacterium
Lineage: Bacteria
Description: partial 16S ribosomal RNA
Rfam family: Bacterial small subunit ribosomal RNA
Source: RNAcentral
UACAGAGGGGGCAAGCGUUGUUCGGAAUUACUGGGCGUAAAGCGUGCGUAGGUGGUUUGUUAAGUCUGCUGUGAAAGCCCUGGGCUCAACCUGGGAAUGGCGGUGGAUACUGACAAGCUAGAGUGCGGUAGAGGAGGGUGGAAUUCCCGGUGUAGCGGUGAAAUGCGUAGAGAUCGGGAGGAACAUCAGUGGCGAAGGCGGCCCUCUGGACCAGCACUGACGCUGAGGCACGAAAGCGUGGGGAGCAAACAGG